Molecule: long non-coding RNA, 1032 nt
Organism: Callorhinus ursinus (northern fur seal)
Lineage: Eukaryota; Metazoa; Chordata; Mammalia; Carnivora; Otariidae
Source: RefSeq, a predicted model, not a curated record
GAGCUAGCAAUAAUGCAUCAUCUUUCCUCCUCCCCUUCAUUCCCAAGAGUGGGGCUUCAAGCAGUAUCAGAACUAUUGGCCAGCACCACUCUCCUCUGUCCCUCCACAGCCCAACCAAGUUAGGACUCGUCAUGUGACCUACAGCCAAAGAAUGGAAAUGGAAAUGUGAAGCUUGCAGAAAGACUUCCGCAGGGAGUUGAUUCAACUGGAAGGUAGAAAACGUGGAGGAAUAACUAUGCAUCUCCCUCGCACUGGUAAUGUCAACGUGGAGAUGGGUGUAUAUGAACACAAGGAUGGAGGAGCUCAAGUGGAUGAAGAAUCAAUGAAGUAGGAUUUCCCCCAAGUGCUCCAAUGUGUGCUGAGAAUACAACUCAAGCCAACUCAACUUGCUGUGAACGCUGGAGCUUUAAUCUUUCAAGAACACACUUCCUUCCUGUAUUUCUAGUAAUUACUGUUUCUGGCUUUUCUGGAAAUCCCUCCAGUCAUCUUGACUCUCUCCUCCAAAAGAACUGAGUCAUAAAAAUAGAAUCAUGAGAAAAGUUAAUUUGACCCCUUUGCUCCCUGAAAUGUGCUGGGUGAAAAGAGCCUGGGGGAAUGGGCUGAGAGUUGGGGGAAGUUCUUCUUCAACUGGUUCUUCCAUCUCAAAGAAAAAUAAACUAAAGGAAAGAAUAAAUGUUUUAAGUUAGUCAUCCACAGGAAAGAGAUUUUGUGGGGAAAAUUCACAUUUGGACUAUUCUAGUAUUUAUAGACAGCGUCUUGAACCUGAGAUCCAUAAAUGGGUUUUAUCAAAAUAUAUGAUCCUCCAGAAACUGUUUUUGUGUCUGCUUAUGUUUUUCUAAGGAGAGGAUCCAUAGCUUUUAUCAGAUUCUCAAAAGGGUCCGUGACACUCCAAAAGGUGAAAACUACUCACUUAGAAGUUAACUUAGUUUAUCUACUGUUAUACAAACAAAUUACCCCAAAACUUAACUGUGUGAUACAGCUACCAUUAGCUCACAGGUUGAAUGGGGCAGGAAUUGAGGAGUGGCUUAGCUG